RNAcentral lists this ribosomal RNA (428 nucleotides) under uncultured bacterium. RNAcentral describes it as "bacterial SSU rRNA". It matches the Rfam family "Bacterial small subunit ribosomal RNA", at positions 354 to 796 of the family's 1533-position model. The record is from RNAcentral.
GUGGGGAAUCUUGCACAAUGGGCGAAAGCCUGAUGCAGCGACGCCGCGUGAAGGAUGAAGGCCUUCGGGUUGUAAACUUCUUUUGCAGGGGACAAAAAAAAUGAUGGUACUCUGCGAAUAAGCGCCGGCCAACUACGUGCCAGCAGCCGCGGUAAUAUGUAGGGCGCAAGCGUUGUUCGGAAUUACUAGGUGUAAAGCGUCUGUAGGUGUUUCGAUAAGUUGAAUGUGAAAGCCCUCCGCUUAACGGAGGAAUUGCAUUCAAUACUGUCGGAAUUGAGUACGGGAGAGGAAACUGGAAUUCCUGGUGUAGCGGUGAAAUGCGUAGAUAUCAGGAGGAACACCAAUGGCGAAAGCAGGUUUCUGGCCCGUGUCUGACACUGAGAGACGAAAGCGUGGGGAGCAAACAGGAUUAGAAACCCCAGUAGUCC